UGCUACCGCCAUGCCACCCUGAACACGCCCGAUCUCUUCUGAUCUCAGAAGCUAAGCAGGGUCGAGUCUGGUUAGUACUUGGAUGGGAGACCACCUAGGAUUACCAGGUACUGUAUGUA
Molecule: ribosomal RNA, 119 nt
Filed under: Pteropus alecto (black flying fox)
Lineage: Eukaryota; Metazoa; Chordata; Mammalia; Chiroptera; Pteropodidae
Source: RNAcentral